RNAcentral lists this ribosomal RNA (466 nucleotides) under uncultured bacterium. Its description in RNAcentral is "partial 16S ribosomal RNA". It matches the Rfam family "Bacterial small subunit ribosomal RNA", at positions 339 to 795 of the family's 1533-position model. The record is from RNAcentral.
CUACGGGACGCAGCAGUGGGGAAUAUUGGACAAUGGGGGAAACCCUGAUCCAGCAAUGCCGCGUGUGUGAAGAAGGCCUGCGGGUUGUAAAGCACUUUCGGUUGGGAGGACUGCUUCUAGCACUAAUAUUGUUGGAAGUUGACGUUACCUUCAGAAGAAGCACCGGCUAGCUCCGUGCCAGCAGGCCGCGGUAAUACGGAGGGUGCAAGCGUUAAUCGGAAUUACUGGGCGUAAAGCGCGCGUAGGCGGCUAGAUCAGUCGGGUGUGAAAGCCCCGGGCUUAACCUGGGAACUGCAUCCGAUACUGGCUAGCUUGAGUACAGGAGAGGAGAGUGGAAUUCCACAUGUAGCGGUGAAAUGCGUAGAUAUGUGGAGGAACACCAAUGGCGAAGGCAGCUCUCUGGCCUGAUACUGACGCUGAGGUGCGAAAGCGUGGGGAGCAAACAGGAUUAGAUACCCUAGUAGUC